CGGGAGGCAGCAGUAGGGAAUUUUGCGCAAUGGACGAAAGUCUGACGCAGCGACGCCGCGUGAGGGAUGACGGCCUUCGGGUUAUAAACCUCUGUCGAGUGGGACGAAAACUCGCAGGGUUAAUACCCCUGCGACCUGACGGUACCACUCGAGGAAGCUCCGGCUAACUACGUGCCAGCAGCCGCGGUAAUACGUAGGGAGCAAGCGUUGUUCGGAAUCACUGGGCGUAAAGGGAGUGUAGGCGGGAAAGUAAGUUAGGAGUGAAAUACACAGGCUUAACCUGUGGCCCGCUUUUAAUACUGCUUUUCUUGAGUAUGGGAGAGGAAGAUGGAAUUCCAGGUGUAGCGGUGGAAUGCGUAGAUAUCUGGAAGAACACCAGUAGCGAAGGCGGUCUUCUGGCCCAAUACUGACGCUGAGGCUCGAAAGCUAGGGGAGCAAACAGGAUUAGAUACCCUGGUAGUCCUAGCCGUAAACGAUGGACACUAGUUGUCGGGGGAGUCAAUCCCUUCGGUGACGAAGCUAACGUAUUAAGUGUCCCGCCUGGGGAGUACGCUCGCAAGGGUGAAACUCAAAGGAAUUGACGGGGGCCCGCACAAGCGGUGGAGCAUGUGCUUUAAUUCGAUGCAACGCGAAGAACCUUACCUGGGUUUGACAUGGGGGUGAAAGUAACCAGAGAUGGAUACCUUUCCUUCGGGAACACCCCACACAGGUGCUGCAUGGUUGUCGUCAGCUCGUGUCGUGAGAUGUUGGGUUAAGUCCCGCAACGAGCGCAACCCCUACCCUUAGUUGCCAGCGGGUUAUGCCGGGAACUCUAGGGGGACUGCCUGGACUAACCAGGAGGAAGGCGGGGAUGACGUCAAAUCCUCAUGGCCCUUACGCCCAGGGCUAGACACGUGCUACGAUGGCCGGUACAAUAGGCUGCGAACUCGCGAGAGUAAGCUAAUCCGAUAAAACCGGCCUCAGUUCGGAUUGGAGUCUGCAACUCGACUCCAUGAAGGUGGAAUCGCUAGUAAUCGCGGAUCAGCAUGCCGCGGUGAAUACGUUCCCGGGCAUUGUACACACCGCCCGUCAAGCCAUGAAAGACGGUAGUGCCCGAAGUCGUUCCCCUAACCCUCGGGAAGGGUGCGCCGAAGGUAAGAC
Molecule: ribosomal RNA, 1140 nt
Filed under: uncultured organism
Description: bacterial SSU rRNA
Rfam family: Bacterial small subunit ribosomal RNA
Source: RNAcentral